GGCCAAUAAAAUGCCAGUCGAACGGACUUAACUCAUUCUUUUAGAUUGAGAGCGGUUAGUGGCGGACUGGUGAGUACCACUGUAAGCAACCUGCCUAUCAGAGGGGAAUAACAGUGAGAAAUCAUUGCUAAUACCGCAUAUGCUCACAGUAUCACAUGAUACAGUGAGGAAAGGAGUAAUCCGCUGAUAGAUGGGCUUGCGUCUGAUUAGUUAGUUGGUGGGGUAACGGCCUACCAAGACUACGAUCAGUAGCCGGACUGAGAGGUUGAACGGCCACAUUGGGACUGAGAUACGGCCCAGACUCCUACGGGAGGCAGCAGUCGGGAAUAUUGCGCAAUGGAGGAAACUCUGACGCAGUGACGCCGCGUAUAGGAAGAAGGUUUUCGGAUUGUAAACUAUUGUCAUUAGGGAAGAUAAAAGACUGUACCUAAGGAGGAAGCCCCGGCUAACUAUGUGCCAGCAGCCGCGGUAAUACAUAGGGGGCAAGCGUUAUCCGGAAUUAUUGGGUGUAAAGGGUGCGUAGACGGAAGAACAAGUUGGUUGUGAAAUCCCUCGGCUCAACUGAGGAACUGCAACCAAAACUAUUCUCCUUGAGUGUCGGAGAGGAAAGUGGAAUUCCUAGUGUAGCGGUGAAAUGCGUAGAUAUUAGGAGGAACACCAGUGGCGAAGGCGACUUUCUGGACGAUAACUGACGUUGAGGCACGAAAGUGUGGGGAGCAAACAGGAUUAGAUACCCUGGUAGUCCACACU
RNAcentral lists this ribosomal RNA (750 nucleotides) under uncultured bacterium. RNAcentral describes it as "bacterial SSU rRNA". It matches the Rfam family "Bacterial small subunit ribosomal RNA", at positions 45 to 801 of the family's 1533-position model. The record is from RNAcentral.